AGACGGGUAAUUGCGUUGCAUUUUUAUGCAAUGAGGAAAGUCCGGACACCCAAAGUACAAGAUUGCUUGGGAAAGCCAAGUGCGCGUGAGCGUGAGGAAAGUGCCACAGAAAAGCAGACUACAAAAUUAAUUUUGUACAGGUGCAACGGCGGGGUAAAAGCCCACCGCUUGGUUUGUGAAAACCAAGGUCAUGGUAAACCCCAAUCGGGUGCAAGUUUGAAUCUGCAAGAAGAAUUGUACUUUUCGCUUAAUUUUAAGAUUGCAGGAAAAAACGCAUUAGACAGAUGAUUACCUUAAACAGAAUCCGGCUUAUAGUCUGCUUUU
Molecule: RNase P RNA, 324 nt
Filed under: chicken gut metagenome
Description: Bacterial RNase P class A
Rfam family: Bacterial RNase P class A
About the family: Ribonuclease P (RNase P) is a ubiquitous endoribonuclease, found in archaea, bacteria and eukarya as well as chloroplasts and mitochondria. Its best characterised activity is the generation of mature 5'-ends of tRNAs by cleaving the 5'-leader elements of precursor-tRNAs.
Source: RNAcentral